RNAcentral lists this unclassified non-coding RNA (379 nucleotides) under uncultured bacterium. Its description in RNAcentral is "contains 16S-23S intergenic spacer region". The record is from RNAcentral.
UCCGAGUUGACCCCGGCAGUCUCCUACGAGUCCCCGGCAUAACCCGCUGGCAACAUAGGACAAGGGUUGCGCUCGUUAAUGGACUUAACCAAACAUCUCACGACACGAGCUGACGACGGCCAUGCAACAUCUGUCACCGAGUUCAAUAAAGCACUCUCGCCUCUCGGCAAAAUUCUCGGGAUGUCAAACCCUGGUAAGGUUCUUCGUUUAGCAUCGAAUUAAAGAACAUGAUCCACCGCUUGUGCGGCUCCCCGUCAAUUCCUUUAUGUUUUAGUCUUGCGACCGUACUCCACAGGCGGGAUACUUAACGCGUUAGCUUCGCUACUGAAGGGGUCGAUACCUCCAACAGCUAGUAUCCAUCGUUUACGGCGUGGACUAC